RNAcentral lists this ribosomal RNA (468 nucleotides) under uncultured bacterium. RNAcentral describes it as "partial 16S ribosomal RNA". It matches the Rfam family "Bacterial small subunit ribosomal RNA", at positions 28 to 507 of the family's 1533-position model. The record is from RNAcentral.
GACGAACGCUGGCGGCGUGCUUAACACAUGCAAGUCGAACGGAAAGGCACUGCUUUUGUGGGGUGCUCGAGUGGCGAACGGGUGAGUAACACGUGAGUAACCUGCCCUUGACUUUGGGAUAACUUCAGGAAACUGGGGCUAAUACCGGAUAGGAGCUCCUGCUGCAUGGUGGGGGUUGGAAAGUUUCGGCGGUUGGGGAUGGACUCGCGGCUUAUCAGCUUGUUGGUGGGGUAGUGGCUUACCAAGGCUUUGACGGGUAGCCGGCCUGAGAGGGUGACCGGCCACAUUGGGACUGAGAUACGGCCCAGACUCCUACGGGAGGCAGCAGUGGGGAAUAUUGCACAAUGGGCGGAAGCCUGAUGCAGCAACGCCGCGUGCGGGAUGACGGCCUUCGGGUUGUAAACCGCUUUCGCCUGUGACGAAGCGUGAGCGACGGUAAUGGGUAAAGAAGCACCGGCUAACUACGUG